UACGGGGGGAGCAAGCGUUGUUCGGAUUUACUGGGCGUAAAGGGCGCGUAGGCGGCCACCGCAAGUCGGUUGUGAAAUCUCCGGGCUUAACCCGGAAAGGUCAACCGAUACUGCGGGGCUAGAGUGCAGAAGGGGCAACUGGAAUUCUCGGUGUAGCGGUGAAAUGCGUAGAUAUCGAGAGGAACACCUGCGGCGAAGGCGGGUUGCUGGGCUGACACUGACGCUGAUGCGCGAAAGCUAGGGGAGCGAACGGG
Molecule: ribosomal RNA, 254 nt
Filed under: uncultured bacterium
Lineage: Bacteria
Description: partial 16S ribosomal RNA
Rfam family: Bacterial small subunit ribosomal RNA
Source: RNAcentral